This 122-nucleotide microRNA precursor is filed under the name Picea abies (Norway spruce). Its description in RNAcentral is "miR390a stem-loop (pab-MIR390a)". Its record names the gene pab-MIR390a. The record is from miRBase by way of RNAcentral. Lineage: Eukaryota; Viridiplantae; Streptophyta; Pinopsida; Pinales; Pinaceae.
UCAGCGAAAGUAUGGUGGAUUUGCAAAGCUCAGGAGGGAUAGCGCCCAUGGUAUGUGAACUGCCUCUUGCAGCCAUGAGACGCUAUCCAUCCUGAGUUUUUUGACUUCUCCCUGCUAUCUGG